RNAcentral lists this ribosomal RNA (490 nucleotides) under uncultured bacterium. RNAcentral's name for it is "partial 16S ribosomal RNA". It matches the Rfam family "Bacterial small subunit ribosomal RNA", at positions 30 to 507 of the family's 1533-position model. The record is from RNAcentral.
AUUGAACGCUGGCGGCAGGCCUAACACAUGCAAGUCGAACGGUAACAGGAAGCAGCUUGCUGCUUUGCUGACGAGUGGCGGACGGGUGAGUAAUGUCUGGGAAACUGCCUGAUGGAGGGGGAUAACUACUGGAAACGGUAGCUAAUACCGCAUAACGUCGCAAGACCAAAGAGGGGGACCUUCGGGCCUCUUGCCAUCGGAUGUGCCCAGAUGGGAUUAGCUUGUUGGUGGGGUAACGGCUCACCAAGGCGACGAUCCCUAGCUGGUCUGGGAGGAUGACCAGCCACACUGGAACUGAGACACGGUCCAGACUCCUACGGGAGGCAGCAGUGGGGAAUAUUGCACAAUGGGCGCAAGCCUGAUGCAGCCAUGCCGCGUGUAUGAAGAAGGCCUUCGGGUUGUAAAGUACUUUCAGCGGGGAGGAAGGGAGUAAAGUUAAUACCUUUACUCAUUGACGUUACCCGCAGAAGAAGCACCGGCUAACUCCGUG